CCAAUAGCGUAUAUUAAAGUUGUUGCAGUUAAAAAGCUCGUAGUUGAAUUUCGGGAUUGGCGUGUCGGUCGUGCCUUACGGGGUAUGAACUGGCGUCGUCGAUUUCUCACCUUCUGGAGAAUCACGAUGCCCUUAAUUGGGUGUCGUGUGGAACCAGGACCUUUACUUUGAAAAAAUUAGAGUGUUUAAAGCAGGCAUUUUUGCUCGAAUACAUUAGCAUGGAAUAAUAAAAUAGGACGGUUUGGUUCUAUUUUGUUGGUUUCUAGGAUCACCGUAAUGAUUAAUAGGGAUAGUUGGGGGCAUUAGUAUUCAAUUGUCAGAGGUGAAAUUCCUGGAUUUAUUGAAGACUAACUACUGCGAAAGCAUUUGCCAAGGAUGUUUUCAUUAAUCAAGACCGAAAGUUAGGGGAUCGAAGACGAUCAGAUACCGUCGUAGUCUUAACCAUAAACUAUGCCGACUAGGAAUCAGACGAUGUUAAUUUUUUAAUGACUCGUUUGGCACCUUACG
Molecule: ribosomal RNA, 507 nt
Filed under: uncultured Glomeromycotina
Lineage: Eukaryota; Fungi; Glomeromycota
Description: partial small subunit ribosomal RNA
Rfam family: Eukaryotic small subunit ribosomal RNA
Source: RNAcentral